This is a long non-coding RNA of Nasonia vitripennis (jewel wasp), 511 nucleotides long. RefSeq lists it as uncharacterized. Lineage: Eukaryota; Metazoa; Arthropoda; Insecta; Hymenoptera; Pteromalidae. The record is from RefSeq and is a predicted model, not a curated record. The transcript has 3 exons.
GAUGAGGUAGAAGCAGAAUCUGAUAAAAUUAUCAAAUUGCUAAACGCAAAUAAUGAGCCAGAGGAAGAAGUUCUUAGUGAGUAGAGAGAAAGUUUUUCUUUUCGAGAGAAGUGUAAAAGCAUCACAGAUUACUUUUUAACUUACAAAUGCUUGAAUUCGCCAUUUGGCCAUAUUUUAUUGUCUAACGAUUUUGAUAGAAUAUACCCAGAAUCUACUAAUUCACUCAAAGAAAAUUGGGAUAAGGUGGCGCCUUUUAUUGUGGAUUACGCCAGGGAGAACAAAAAUUAUUUUCUUCUGAUGAUUCCGUAAUUCUUGCCGACAAAAAGUCUGUUUUGGCAUUCUUGUGCUAGGCAAGAAUCUUAGGUACAAUUGUCAAAAAACGAGAUACAGCGUUCUUGGCAGAUGAUCUAUUAAGUUCUGAUAUUGUCAACUUUAAGGUAAUCUCUAAACCUUUUUAUUGAGUUUUAAAACUACUUUUCAAUUUGUUAAACGUAUUUAUUAUUAAUAGACA